GUUUGGUAAUCAAUAAUUUUUUUAUAAAUAAAUGAUUGAACGUUUGAGCGUAAAGAUAGCCGACCUUUACGUAUAUUGCGUGAAGUGGUUCGAAUAAAAUACUUAAAUCGACGCAGAAUCGUUUGGUAGCGACGAAUCCACGAAAUAUAGUCUUUGAAAAUCGUCUGGUGGUGCUUGGUAGUUUUAAUAUAAUGUUUGGUGAUUAUUUCCUCGAUCAACAUAAAUUGAAAAACUAUCGGAAAUCAGUUCACGAGAACGAAGCGCUCUAAUUUGUUAUCGAAGUCAGGUUGAACGGGACAAUUAUCGAUGGUGAAAAGUUACUAGGCGCGGACGAGAACGCAUCCUGGUCCAUCUGGAUACAUCAGUGAUAUCGUUCUAGCUAAAUACUACGUGAGAAAAAAACAUUCAAUAAUUGCAUUUCAAUAACACUCAAAUAAUUAGAGAGGUAACAAAAACUCGGAGAAUGUAACUGAAAGCAAACAUCAGGAAAGUUGAUUCAGUAGUUUGUAGGCAGUUAUGGUAAACCCGAGAUGAAUAUUUACAAACUGGAAUUGGAAUAUUUUUUUUACAAGAUUUGGAAUGUCAUUAUACAGUGUUCAUUAUACCAAUAAAUUGAUGUGCAAACUAGAAGAAGAAACACAAAUGUAUCAAGAAAGAGCGUAUGUGUCGUUAUGGCCAAGGACGAAGAAGAAUAUAGGAAGCUCAUUGAUCAGAAGAAGGCAAACGUUUAGUUUUCCUACUCUCACAAACCUACAUGUUCAUCAGCAAUCUUAUGAAAAUGGUUGAACAGCACAAAAUGGAACAGCAAAGAAAACAAAUUGAAGCGUAAAAAGAAGGAAAAGGAACACAGGACAGCAAAGAGGAUGCAAACUGGGAUGAUGUCCGUGUGAAUGUCAACGAGAUUGCAACUGGUGAAACGUUGACCGAUGAAGACGCUCCGCUUAUGAGCCAAAUCUGAACUUUCACAUCCUAUUGCAUCCUGGCUGGGAACAUGUAGAAUCCAAGAGCGAAGGUGAUACGGAUUAUGAUGAAGAAAAUGAAGAGAAAAAUCGCGAUAGCGGUAAAAAAAAAGACAAAUCUUCACGGAUAUGUCUCUAGUUCUUACUCAAUGAUUUGAUCAGAGACUUCUCCCGACAAAUAUUAAAUUCCAUUAUGUUUAUAACAUAUUUUAGUUGUUUGUGAGAUUACAUUUUUCUAAUUAUCACCUUCAUUCGUUGUACAAUCA
Molecule: long non-coding RNA, 1225 nt
Organism: Venturia canescens
Lineage: Eukaryota; Metazoa; Arthropoda; Insecta; Hymenoptera; Ichneumonidae
Exons: 3
Source: RefSeq, a predicted model, not a curated record